GCAACUGAAAUAUUUAAUGACGAGACCAGGGCACAUCCUUAACAUGUGCAAGCACCUUCGUGUGUUUGUUUUUCUACUGGCAAGCAUCACGAAUGUGUAUUGUGGAGACGUACUGCAAACUACACAUCAAGACAACAGCACACUUCAACACCAAUCAAAACGAAACGUUGGCACAACAAAGUAUCCAAUGCCUUACACUGGUGAAAUUAAGCAUCCGUUGUAUGAUGGCAAAGAAAUCAUUGUGGAAGGAGUCAUCGAUAAAAAACCCCAAAGUUUUAUUGUCGAAUUGUGUGAGAAAAGAUCAUGCUACCCGGACAUCGAAAUGCAGGCCACUUAUCGUUUUCACACUCAGAGAUUCAACUUGAAUAGCAGAAGAAACUUCAAGUGGG
This is a long non-coding RNA of Physella acuta, 389 nucleotides long. RefSeq lists it as uncharacterized. The record is from RefSeq and is a predicted model, not a curated record. NCBI's taxonomy places the organism in Eukaryota, Metazoa, Mollusca, Gastropoda, Physidae.